RNAcentral lists this ribosomal RNA (253 nucleotides) under uncultured prokaryote. RNAcentral describes it as "partial 16S ribosomal RNA". It matches the Rfam family "Bacterial small subunit ribosomal RNA", at positions 524 to 776 of the family's 1533-position model. The record is from RNAcentral.
GACGAACCGUGCGAACGUUAUUCGGAAUCACUGGGCUUAAAGGGCGCGUAGGCGGGCCGCCCGGUCCGGGGUGAAAUCCUCCAGCUCAACUGGAGAAGUGCCUUGGAUACCGGCGGCCUCGAGGGAGGCAGGGGCGUGCGGAACUUCGGGUGGAGCGGUGAAAUGCGUAGAUAUCCGGAGGAACACCGGUGGCGAAAGCGGCGCGCUGGACCUCUUCUGACGCUGAGGCGCGAAAGCCAGGGGAGCAAACGGG